RNAcentral lists this ribosomal RNA (439 nucleotides) under uncultured bacterium. Its description in RNAcentral is "partial 16S ribosomal RNA". It matches the Rfam family "Bacterial small subunit ribosomal RNA", at positions 339 to 795 of the family's 1533-position model. The record is from RNAcentral.
CUACGGGAGGCAGCAGUGAGGAAUAUUGCACAAUGGGGGGAACCCUGAUGCAGCAACGCCGCGUGGAGGAUGACGCAUUUCGGUGUGUAAACUCCUUUUAUAUGUCAAGAAAAUGACGGUAGCAUAUGAAUAAGCACCGGCUAACUCCGUGCCAGCAGCCGCGGUAAUACGGAGGGUGCAAGCGUUACUCGGAAUCACUGGGCGUAAAGGACGCGUAGGCUGUUUAGCAAGUCAGAUGUGAAAUCCAAUGGCUCAACCAUUGAACUGCAUUUGAAACUGCUAGACUAGAGUAUGGGAGGGGCAGAUGGAAUUAGUGGUGUAGGGGUAAAAUCCGUAGAUAUCACUAGGAAUACCUAAAGCGAAGGCGAUCUGCUGGAACAUUACUGACGCUAAGGCGUGAAAGCGUGGGGAGCAAACAGGAUUAGAUACCCGGGUAGUC